AAUAGAUACCCUGGUAGUCCAUGCCGUAAACGUUGGGCACUAGGUGUGGGGCCAUUCCACGGUUUCCGCGCCGCAGCUAACGCAUUAAGUGCCCCGCCUGGGGAGUACGGCCGCAAGGCUAAAACUCAAAGGAAUUGACGGGGGCCCGCACAAGCGGCGGAGCAUGCGGAUUAAUUCGAUGCAACGCGAAGAACCUUACCAAGGCUUGACAUGUUCUCGACCGCCACAGAGAUGUGGUUUCCCCUUUGGGGCGGGUUCACAGGUGGUGCAUGGUUGUCGUCAGCUCGUGUCGUGAGAUGUUGGGUUAAGUCCCGCAACGAGCGCAACCCUCGUUCCAUGUUGCCAGCGGGUUAUGCCGGGGACUCAUGGGAGACUGCCGGGGUCAACUCGGAGGAAGGUGGGGACGACGUCAAAGUCAUCAUGCCCCUUAUGUCUUGGGCUUCACGCAUGCUACAAUGGCCGGUACAAUGGGUUGCGAUACUGUGAGGUGGAGCCAAUCCCAAAAAGCCGGUCUCAGUUCGGAUUGGGGU
This 530-nucleotide ribosomal RNA is filed under the name uncultured bacterium. RNAcentral's name for it is "bacterial SSU rRNA". It matches the Rfam family "Bacterial small subunit ribosomal RNA", at positions 777 to 1304 of the family's 1533-position model. The record is from RNAcentral.